UGCCCUGUGUUGGCUGGGAUUGGCUCCAGCAGACUCCCGUGAGCCUGUGUUCGGAUUCAGCGGGUUGGAAAAUGGAUGGAUGCAUGGAUGUUUGUGGUGUGCCAUCUAAUGAAAUGACUGAUUGUCUCUGUUAUAUUCCAUUUGUUAUGUGUUUCAUAAAAGGAGUGUUAAUGUUUAUGAUGCGCCAUCUGUUGGAAUGACUAAUCCAACACAUUUUAUUACUGCAUACAUUGCAAAAUACAUUCUAAUAGAUGAUGCAUUACAAAUGUUAACACUGAGGUCUACGUUGAUUACUUAGAAAGGGGUAACACAGCUAGUUAAAGAUAUACUGUUUAUUCAUUUUUUGACAUUAAAGAGCAAACUGAACAUAUUGAACAAACUUAACACAGCUCGAUGUUGCUGGUUUAGGCUCCCCCUCCACGUGACCUUAAAGAGCGUGUUUUUACAACCUCCACUGACUAACGCUGCAAUUUAAGACAAGGUGUUUUUUUCUGAUCCCAUAUGAAAAAGGACAACCAGCAAUCUGGACGAGGCCUUGCAAAUGGACUGUCCAGGGUUGGUUCCUGCCUUGUGCUUGAUGUUGCCCGGUUGGGCUCCCAGUGACCUCAUCAUUUUAUUAAUGCUGUAAUCAAAGACGAAGCGUUUCUACUGAUAAAGAGCUAAGUGAUUCCAUAUAAUAUGCUUCAGUAGGAACCAGCAAAUUUGGUUACGGACGGGUGCCCCAUUCAGCAUUGAUUCCUGCCUUGUGCUCAGUGUUGUUAAUUUAGGUUCCCCCUUCUCUGUAACCUUAAAAAAAACAUGUUUUACAACCUCAAGUCAUUAACUGAAGUGUUUUUUUUUCUGAUCCCGUAUAGCGCAUUUGAAUUAAGACUGACAGGGCUAAUUCCUGCUUUGUGCUCAGCAUUGCCCGUUUUGGCUCCCCCUCCCUGUAACCACAAGGAUCGUGUUUCCCAACCUCCAUUCAUGAAUACUGUAAUCUAAGACAAUGUGUUUCUUCUGAUAAAGAACUACGUGAUCCCAUAUGGCGCAUUUCAGCAGCACCCAGUAACGUGGAGAUGGACUGUGCAGGGUCAGAUCCUGUGUUGAGCUCAACGUUGUCAGUUUAGACUCCCUCCUCCCCGUGAACCUGCAAAGCAGUUCUUUAUAACCUUCAGUCAUUAAGUCUGCAAUUUCAGACAAGGUACUACUUUUGAUAAAGAGCUAAGUGGUCCCAGAACACUUCAAGUAGGACCACCAGCAGUUUGGAUGUGGCCUUUGGAGGUGGACCAGAGCCCCGUCUAAGGUUGAUUCCUGCUCUGCUCUCACUGAUGACGGGUUUAGGCUCCCUCCUCUCUGUGAACAUAAAAAGCACUUUUUACAACUUUCGGUCAUUAAUGUAGCUUAGGAUGAUGUGUUUGUUUUAUUUCUGUUCCCACACAGUGCAUUUAAAGGAGGACAACCAGCAGUUUGGUUGUGGACUGUCCUGCCUUGCAUUUGAGGUGGCCAGUUUAGGUUCACCUUCCCUGAAACCUUAAAAAAGCGAAUCUUACAUCCUCCAGUUAUUAAGACUGUAAGCCAAGACGAGGCCUUUCUUAUGAUAAAAAGCUAAGUAAUCUCAUAGAGUGUCACGCAUUUGAAGUUGGACAACCAGCAGUUUGGAUGUGGACUGUCCUGCCUUGCACUUGAGGCUGCCAGUUUAGGCUCCACCUUCCCUGAAAUGGGUGAAUUUGAAGUUGGACAAUCCGCAGUCUGGACGCGGCCUUGUGUGUGGACAGUCUAGGGUUAAUUCCUGCCCUGUGUUCACUGGUGCCCGUUUAGGCUCCACCCACCCGCUUAACGAUCGUGUUUUAUAACCUCCGCUCCUUAACAAUGUGCUUCUUCUGAUGAAGAGCUAAGUGAUCCCACAUACUGUAGCACGUUACACGUAAGACAACCAGCAAACUGGAUGUGGCCUUAGGUGUGGACUGGCCAAGGCUGGUCCCUGCCUUGUGCUCACUCUUACUCCCCGUAACAUUAAAAA
Molecule: long non-coding RNA, 1999 nt
Organism: Erpetoichthys calabaricus (reedfish)
Lineage: Eukaryota; Metazoa; Chordata; Cladistia; Polypteriformes; Polypteridae
Exons: 2
Source: RefSeq, a predicted model, not a curated record